CCCUUUAAUUAAGUAUGCUUGCUCCUAAUUAAUGUCGACACCCAGCAUAUUUUCUCAACCUAUCUGACCUUCUAGCUAGCACUAGAUGCAUUCAGUUCCCAUGUUUUCCUAGAUGUCUCUAGGUCGAUCGAGAGAAUAGGAAAUUGAUAGUGUAUUGGCUUCCUUUUUGGUUGCCCAGAUUCUACAUUUUAUGAUGAACUGGCAAUUUGUUGUGGUGUGGAAAUUUAUUUCAUAAGUAUAUAUUCCUUAAUUUAAAUAUGGCACCCAGCUUGAAACAAGUAUACUAUUUAUCUGCCCACUUGCAAGAUCCCACUAUUUUUGUGGUUAAUUUUCAAUUGCACUGUCCUAUUAGUUGAGUCAUUUUAUUUGCAGAGCGUAAGUAUUAGCAUGGUCAAUUUUAUUGAGUGUUCAGCUGCCUAACAAUAGGCACCUCAGCUGGCUGAGCGAUGUUUUCUGGAACUACAGUGUCUAUUAAUUCUGUUUUGUGGUUAUUAGUUCAUUUACAGCAUGCGGACCUAUGGUGCUUUUGGAGCUUAAGUGGAGAAAGAUAACAUUAGGUAAGUGCUAAUUUCAAAUUAUUUUUCUGCAUAGUAAGCUAACCUUUAUAAAUGGGGGAAAAAACAAGCUUUUGAAACAUUACUCCAGAUGGUAAAGCACCGUUUCUUUCAUUUUUAUUUUUUGUUCGCCGCACGCUGACAAUCUUUACCUCAAGAAUUGAAGCAUGAUCCGGAUUACUACCUAGAUGCGCUCUACAUAUAACUCCUGCAGAGAACCGUAACCUAAACUUGCUUUUCUUUUGACCUCUGUUUGGGCUCUCCUGUGUAGCCUCAUUCUCUCAUUGAAUUCCACAGUUUGGUUUUGGUGCAGGGAGUGCUUCCAGAUCCAGCGCCUCAAUUUGUUUAAUUUGGUUGCUCUUAUUAGGUGAAUCGUUUCAGAAACCAUGAUCUUCCAUCUGAAAAGAGAACUUAAUAAAUAUCCACAUCUAAUACUGACAUGCAAAUUCAGAUUAUUUUUAAUUUCCUCGCCUACAAUUCAGCUUUGUCCUCACAUAAUUUUCUUUUUAAUACCAUUUGGUUUGGUGCUAUCAGCAUGUUCUUUAUUGUUAUAGUUCAACUCUAAAUUGUCAUUUCUCUUGAAGCUAUAUUGCAUUUUCAGUUCCUUCUAUUUACUUAUGUUUUUUUUUUUGCAUUAAAAUUAUUGGUACUGCUGUUUCCAGUUCACAUGCUUCCUUGUUUUCUUUUCUUUUCCUGAUUGCAUAUCAACCAUGUAGACAAUAUUAUGCAGUCAUAUGACUAUGCUUCUGAAACUUAGUUGAGUUUGUCGUCUCAUAAGAAGCGAAUUCCUUCGGUUUAAUUAAUUCCUUACUCUCUUUUUUACUGCAUUAAGACUGGAGAUGUAUUUUGUUGCACAUUUCCUUUUUUUGCGAUUGCAUAUCAACCACGUAAUUAUAUAUAUGAAGUCAUAUAUGCAGUCCCCUGCAUAUAUGAUCAUGCUUUUUUUUGAAAAUUGAUAGGUUUCUCCUCAUAAAAGGGGGCAAAUAUGGGAGAUGUUAGCCUUCUAUAGCUUUAGGUUGAGUCCGUGACCCCUCCCCAACAAGCAAAUUGACAUAAAUCAGAAAGCAAUGCAGCAUAUGUCGAUCUUGCAUUGUGACCAAUUAAGGAUUACA
This 1666-nucleotide long non-coding RNA is filed under the name Brachypodium distachyon (stiff brome). Its description in RNAcentral is "long non-coding RNA (BDIS_LNC001050)". The record is from RNAcentral. Lineage: Eukaryota; Viridiplantae; Streptophyta; Magnoliopsida; Poales; Poaceae.